UCUAUGUCCUCUUCUACUUGUGUAUUGUAUACUUGUAUCUAUAUAUAUUGUUACUCCGUUUCUGUUACCUGCCUAGGAACUACGUAGCUAUGUAAAUUAGCAUUCUUGCUAACUCAGGCAUGUUUACAUUUACAUCUUGUAUUUUAUAUUGAUGUGUGCUGUGUCCCUGUGGGGGGUUUAUCAGAUUCUACCACUUGCACAACAGCCAGUUACUGUGGUUUACAAGCAAUUAUCUCUCUCUUUCUCUAUAAACUGUACCAAGUAGCCUUAAAGCUGCUAUCUGUAAUGCUUUGCUGUAUUUAUAAAUCGUUCAUUUCUAUGUGGUGUCUAAAAACACAAAGGCGGCACCGCCCGCGAUAUUGUUUUUCCCACUAUGGCCACGCCAAGAUCCGCCCUUCAAUAGCAUUCACACACUACUAUUGGCCAGGCGUCCAUGCUUCCUAUCAUCUGACCAAUCCUUUAACCCUAACCUUAACCACUCGAGGUGAAAUGCCUAACCCCAACCAAUCGAGCUGCUUCGUAGGGCGGGUCUUGGCGUGGCCAUAGUGGGAUUUGUAAUUUUGCGCACCGCCCAGCAGGAAAGGCCCGCGGCGUCCCGUCGCUAUGGCAACUUAGUAGGGAAGGCACAACAACGCUUCAAUCAUGUCUACCUCUGUGGCGAAAGAAGAAAGAAAGAAGAGACGUACUCUGGUUCUAAGGCCCUCUUCUCGAACAAUAAAUAUUUCAGUGUCAGGCAUACACGGAGUCAACCAAAGUACAAGAGACAUAAACAGCGUCGUCGGUUCCCCGAGCAGGAAAAGUUUCAGCCUGUGCGGUGGCAGCAAAGUUCUGGAGAAGAGCUCCAUUCAAACUCAGAGACAAGCUGUUCGGGUGUUUGAUGAUGAAGGCAAUGACGUCACUCCUCAGCCGCUGCAGCAUGCAGAUCCAGCUGCUGCGCAGGCCAAAGCCAGCAGGUUGUUUCUGGAUGAACUGUCCGCUGGAUCCGCAUCAGAUCAGACGACAGCCACUGGGAGCUUUGCUAUGCCUUUCUCCAGGUCAAUAUUAGGAAGCAGCAGAAUAUCCAGCCAGUCUACCAUAGAGUCGAUGAAUGAGGAGAUUGAGGAUACAUUUUCCAAACGGGACAUGCCCAUCAACUUCCCAGAUGUGCAGGGGAAAAGAGACACCGUGAAAGAACAGGUGACAGAAGACAUGUUGAAAGAGGUCAUAGAUCUCUACAUCUCUGAGACAGACAGCAUUUCACUGCUGGACAUACGUAGCACCUUUGUGUCAGUGGACGCCGAUGACGCAGAAGCUAUCAUGGAGAGAAACAAUCAGUAUGCUGAGGUUUGCAGGAGCAGAAUGGACAACGAUAAGUAUGUGGAUCAAUCAGUGCAGACGUUGAAUGGAGCUACUAAAAACAAACAGGUCCAGAGCGACAGCAUUGUCAUGGUGGACAAAGCCACGACUGUUACCAGCUGGGAUGUGUAUGACACUUUGAUCAGCCCUGAGCAGGGUGAAAAGCUGUGCAGCCCUGAACUGGGGAGGGCUCAGUGUCCCGAGGCUGCUGUGGACAGUGGCAGAGGUGCAGAGAGGAGCGUGUCAGUGGGCAGCACAGCCAGCACAGCCAGUGCUGCCAGCUCAUUGAAAGAAGUGGAGCCGCUUGGGAACAGUUUAAACGCUGAGUCAGACUUGCAGCUGAUCAUGCUGUCAGAGAAAUUCCAACACUGCUUACUAGUGAUGGAGAGGAGCAUUCUGGGAAACAUUUUCCAACCCCAGCUGGCUGCUUACAGACAACUGCCCGUAAUAGAAGACCCAGACAGUCCGGUGAAGCCUGGGAUCGGGGAGCAGAGGGAGGAGGAUGCCGAGAGCCCCAGAUCUCCGGCCGUGGAGCGUCUCUGGGCUUUCAGCUGCGAGCUCAGCCGAGGGAGCAGCGUCAGCAGCAUGGCCUGGAACAAGAAGAACCCGGACCUUCUGGCUGUGGGCUAUGGUGAGUUUGGCUCCAGUAACCAGAAACCAGGCCUGGUGUGCUGCUGGUCUCUCAAAAAUCCCACGUGGCCGGAGCGUGUCAUCCGCUGUGACAGCGCUGUGACUUCCCUGGAUUUCUCAUCCAAUAACCCCAGUCAGCUGGCUGUGGGCAUGCAAGAUGGCGGUAUCGCUAUCUACAACGUGAAGAGUCGAGACAACAAGGCCUGUUUCAUCAGCAGCAGUGGAUGUCCUAACAGGCACUUGGAUCCAGUGUGGCAGCUUAGGUGGACCCAACAGGAGUUGAGUCUGACAGGAGAAGAGAAGGUGGAAUCUCUGUUUUCUGUGGCUGCAGAUGGCAGGAUCAGCAAGUGGUUUGUCAGCAACAAUGGCCUCGACUGCAUAGACCUGAUGAAGCUGAAGAAGAGUCAUAACCCAAAGAAGAGGGCUGGAGGGACCACCACAGGGAAGAAGACAGAAAGUGUUCUGUCAGCACUGACUCCUGGUCUGUGCUUUGACUUCCAUCCAACAGAUGCCAGUGUCUACUUGGUUGGCACAUGGGAAGGUCUCAUCCACAAGUGCUCCUGUUCCAACAGUCAGCAGUUUCUGGACACGUACAGGAAGCACUUUUGUCCUGUGAACCGCGUCACAUGGAGUCCACUCAGUCCAGAUGUGUUCCUGAGCUGCUCGGCUGACUGGACCAUCCAGCUGUGGAAGCAGGACCACCAUAAACCCCUAUUAGGCUUCAUCUCCACCCGGAGAACGGUGUGCGACAUCAAGUGGUCCCCAAAGUGGGCGACAGUAUUCGGAGCCGUUAAUGAGGGACAGCUGGAGAUCUGGGACCUGAAUUUAAGCGUCUUGGACCCGGUCAUUGUGCAGCCUGCUGCCGCUGGUGUGAAGAUGAGCUCCCUGCUGUUCGCCCCCCAGACGGACUGUGUCCUGGUCGGAGACAGCGAUGGACAGGUGACCGUCUACCAGCUGAGGAACCUCUGUGUGGGAGACAGCAGCCAGGUGGAUAUUCUGGAGGGCAUCCUCUGCUCUGCAGCUCCUGGAUAGCUUUAAGAAACAGACGGAUGUAUACCCAAGCCAUUUGGGUUUCUGUCUGAAAGAAAGAUAGCUGCUGACUGAUUCCUGUGCAUGAUGAAGUGCUCCACUUUGCCUUCCUGAUGACUGCUUUAGAACUCAGCGAUAUGGGGACCCCUUGUGGUCAGAUUUGGUACAACAGAAAAUUGAGUAAUACUGCCUUUACAUGGCCAAAAUAUUUAGUAGUGGAAAGUAACUAAAAAACAUUUACUAAACUACAAAUUUGAGAUACUUUUACUUUGUGUAUUUCAUUUUAAUUGGAUGCUACUUUAUACUUUUACUCAACUACAGUUCAGAUGCAUUUAACUACAGGUGUAGCAGAAAGAGGGGAAAGUACACAAUAGCCCUUUUCAACCUUGAAAGGAAGCUGGGAGAGAGCGCUCUACCGAGUGAGCUACCCAGGUGAAAACAGUGUUUUAACAUUGUGGCAUUUCCUUUUAAGAAAAAGUGUUCAUAAGUUAUUGUCCAUUUGAGAGACAAAUCUUUGAAAAAUGUUGCGCCUUUCACCUUUAAUGGGAACCACAUGCACAAAAUACAUGAAUCAUAAAAGACACGAGUCAUCACUGUUGUCCCAAACCUUUUAUUGCAGCAACAGAUCAUUUACAGAAAACCGUGACACUUCAAAUCUCCACAAUCCAUCGUUACUUCACAAUAAUUUACAUCGUCAUCCUCAGCAUCUACAGGACCGUAUUAGAUCUGCAGACAACACCGAGGCAAAGAGAUGGCCAGUCUUUAACCAGCAGCUUUAUUUCCCCUGCACAGUAAUUAAACCGUUUCCAGCAACUGACACCCCCAGUGUGUGGGAGCAAAGCUGUCCACGUGAGCACAAGCCUUUCCAGCGUGACCACGACUUCUGAUCAAUGAUCCGUAAUGAAAAAGACGCAUUUCACCAGGUGGCUCUGCAGUUUUAUUUUAUUGCCCUUCCCUAUUGUUUCGUUGGAGAAUAAAAAGUUUUCCUGAAGUAGCCCAGUCCCUUAAAACAUGCCUGUCACAAACCGCUUAUGGCUUUGUAAAAACCUUUUAAAGCAUUUUCAGAAAAUUAUAUAUAUUUUUUUUAAUUAUUUCUCCAAGUCCUUUUUAAAAAUGUUCCUUUUAAAAAUCUAGAAGCUCUCUCUUGGUAAAGACUGUAAUCUUCAACUGGUAAAAAGGUUUUUGAUUUCACACUGAUUUACAAAAUGUGAGGGAGUAGAAAAGACCAGCUAGUGGACAAGACAUCCUACGAAAACGACUACUGCACACCAUAAAAAAAAAAAAACAAUAUGCCAGGA
RNA transcript from Perca fluviatilis (European perch), 4292 nucleotides. It is a transcript of the gene named dynein axonemal intermediate chain 4, with no coding region annotated. The transcript is spliced from 18 exons. Lineage: Eukaryota; Metazoa; Chordata; Actinopteri; Perciformes; Percidae. The record is from RefSeq and is a predicted model, not a curated record.